This 750-nucleotide long non-coding RNA is filed under the name Anser brachyrhynchus (Pink-footed goose). RNAcentral describes it as "lncRNA (ENSABRG00000022556.1)". The record is from RNAcentral. Lineage: Eukaryota; Metazoa; Chordata; Aves; Anseriformes; Anatidae.
CUGCCCUUCUGUAGGUGAAAUUCCCAAUUAUUUCUACCCCAAGGGCUGUUUACAGCAAGCAGCAUUGCAUGUGGGUCGUGUGAUAGUUCAAGCAUUACGGUGUUAGGCAAGAUGAGGCCGAGUCUGUAUGAGUUUUACAACAGACAGCGAGACCUGAAGUGGCUGGCUCAAGUACAGGCAAACAAUGCAACAUCUUCCAGACAGAGACCAGGAUCCUGACAUCCUCAUCAAGCAGACUCCCACUGAAGCCAGCUACAGCUUUGCCUGAGCUAGAAUUUGGCUCUUUGUGAAUUAUCCAACACAAUCCAUUGACUCUUUAACCCAUAAAUUGUCAAACUCUAUUAUUUCCAGCUAGGCAGAUGGCUGAAAACAAAUAACCUGUAAGAUAAGGUACUCUGGCUCCAGUUUUAGGUAAAAUUAAAGUUUGCUAAACACAAAUGUUACAGUUACAUAAAUAACAAAAGAAAAAAUCACCACGAAGCCAAAAAUCAUUUUUCUGAAAAAACAUAGAGGAUCAAUUUCUCCAGUUUAGUAUUACCAAACUUGGCAGUAAUUCACAUUUGAAGUAUAAUGAUGUCAUCUGGUUGGCCUUUUCCCAUCGCAAACAGUAAAUCUUAAAAUCUGGAGAGAUCUUUUAUUUGGUUAUUCAUAUUGUACUGCAUCAAGGGGUUACAACACAUGUGCCUGGGCUUAUUAAAAUCAUCUGGAAGAGAGGAGCUUGUUAUUUAAAGGCGCAGUGCUCGAGACCAG